RNAcentral lists this ribosomal RNA (404 nucleotides) under uncultured bacterium. Its description in RNAcentral is "bacterial SSU rRNA". It matches the Rfam family "Bacterial small subunit ribosomal RNA", at positions 355 to 776 of the family's 1533-position model. The record is from RNAcentral.
UGGGGAAUCUUAGACAAUGGGGGCAACCCUGAUCUAGCCAUGCCGCGUGAGUGAUGAAGGCCUUAGGGUCGUAAAGCUCUUUCGCUGGGGAUGAUAAUGACAGUACCCAGUAAAGAAACCCCGGCUAACUCCGUGCCAGCAGCCGCGGUAAUACGGAGGGGGUUAGCGUUGUUCGGAAUUACUGGGCGUAAAGCGCACGCAGGCGGUUUGUUAAGCUAGAUGUGAAAGCCCCGGGCUCAACCUGGGAUGGUCAUUUAGAACUGGCAGACUAGAGUUCGAGAGAGGUGAGUGGAAUUCCGAGUGUAGAGGUGAAAUUCGUAGAUAUUCGGAGGAACACCAGUGGCGAAGGCGGCUCACUGGCUCGAUACUGACGCUGAGGUGCGAAAGUGUGGGUAGCGAACAGG